RNAcentral lists this ribosomal RNA (492 nucleotides) under uncultured bacterium. RNAcentral describes it as "partial 16S ribosomal RNA". It matches the Rfam family "Bacterial small subunit ribosomal RNA", at positions 29 to 507 of the family's 1533-position model. The record is from RNAcentral.
AGUGAACGCUGGCGGUAGGCCUAACACAUGCAAGUCGAACGGCAGCACAGUAAGAGCUUGCUCUUACGGGUGGCGAGUGGCGGACGGGUGAGGAAUACAUCGGAAUCUACUUUUUCGUGGGGGAUAACGUAGGGAAACUUACGCUAAUACCGCAUACGACCUACGGGUGAAAGCAGGGGAUCUUCGGACCUUGCGCGAUUGAAUGAGGCGAUGUCGGAUUAGCUAGUUGGGGGGGUAAAGGCCCACCAAGGCGACGAUCCGUAGCUGGUCUGAGAGGAUGGUCAGCCACACUGGAACUGAGACACGGUCCAGACUCCUACGGGAGGCAGCAGUGGGGAAUAUUGGACAAUGGGCGCAAGCCUGAUCCAGCCAUACCGCGUGGGUGAAGAAGGCCUUCGGGUUGUAAAGCCCUUUUGUUGGGAAAGAAAAGCAGCAGGUUAAUACCCCGCUGUUCUGACGGUACCCAAAGAAUAAGCACCGGCUAACUUCGUG